RNAcentral lists this transfer RNA (73 nucleotides) under Felis catus (domestic cat). It matches the Rfam family "tRNA". Rfam says of the family: Transfer RNA (tRNA) molecules are approximately 80 nucleotides in length. Their secondary structure includes four short double-helical elements and three loops (D, anti-codon, and T loops). Lineage: Eukaryota; Metazoa; Chordata; Mammalia; Carnivora; Felidae. The record is from Rfam by way of RNAcentral.
ACCUGACUGGCUCAGUCAGUGGAGCAUGUGACUCUUGAUGUUGGGGUUGUGGGUUCAAGUCCUAUGUUGGGUG